AAGCUUAGGCUUUCACAAAGCUAAGCUUGAGGGGGAGUGUUGAGAAGAGAUGAGGAUAUAAGGAAGGAAGACUUAUGGGAACUAGUUGAGCUUGGGGAGUUAAGGCAUAGCAUGGACGAGCCAUCCGUACAAGGCCGUACAGAAUCCGUACUAGGCCGUACAAAGGGAGAAGGUAACUCAGUCAUGGUGAAACAAAGUUACACAAGUAACUUUGUAUGAAGGGAAGAAGCCUUGAUCACUUAGGCAAAGUGAUCAGACCGUUGAGAGUGGAUAAGGAAGGGAGAAGGAGCGUGUGACAGACUGUCAUGGACUGGAAGGAUAAGGCAUAAAGCAAAAGAUGCCUCACACACGCGGAUGCUCCCAUUGGACACUUUCAAAUGGGCGCUCCUCUUAUGCUUUGACCUCACAUGCUUGUAUACUGAAACCCUAGUGUCUCCUUCUCACUAUAUAUUGUAUCUCAAUCUCAUUAAUGAAAGUUAGACAGUUCUAAUCACUAAAUCUCUCUACACAUUUCACAAUGAUUCUCCAUUAGUCUCAUAAUCUCUUACUCUUUCUUAAUCUAUCUCUUAUUCUCUUAUAAACUCAGAUUCUAUCUUACAUUUCUCAAAAGUCAUAUGGUAUCAGAGCCAGGUUGAUUUCAAUCUGAGUUC
Molecule: long non-coding RNA, 650 nt
Filed under: Brassica napus (rape)
Lineage: Eukaryota; Viridiplantae; Streptophyta; Magnoliopsida; Brassicales; Brassicaceae
Description: long non-coding RNA (BNAP_LNC004941)
Source: RNAcentral